RNAcentral lists this ribosomal RNA (982 nucleotides) under uncultured bacterium. RNAcentral describes it as "bacterial SSU rRNA". It matches the Rfam family "Bacterial small subunit ribosomal RNA", at positions 508 to 1503 of the family's 1533-position model. The record is from RNAcentral.
UCAGCAGCCGCGGUAAUACGGAAGGUUCGGGCGUUAUCCGGAUUUAUUGGGUUUAAAGGGAGCGUAGGCCGUAGAUUAAGCGUGUUGUGAAAUGUAGAUGCUCAACAUCUGACUUGCAGCGCGAACUGGUUUACUAGAGUGUGCACAACGUAGGCGGAAUUCGCCGUGUAGCGGUGAAAUGCUUAGAUAUGACGAAGAACUCCGAUUGCGAAGGCAGCUUACGGGAGCACAACUGACGCUGAAGCUCGAAGGUGCGGGUAUCAAACAGGAUUAGAUACCCUGGUAGUCCGCACAGUAAACGCUGGAUGCCCGCUGUUGGUUCAUUAGAGUCAGCGGCCAAGCGAAAGCAUUAAACAUCCCACCUGGGGAGUACGCCGGCAACGGUGAAACUCAAAGGAAUUGACGGGGGCCCGCACAAGCGGAGGAGCAUGUGGUUUAAUUCGAUGAUACGCGAGGAACCUUACCCGGGCUUGAAUUGCAGAGGAAGGAUUCAGAGAUGAAGAGGCCCUUCGGGGCCUCUGUGAAGGUGCUGCAUGGUUGUCGUCAGCUCGUGCCGUGAGGUGUCGGCUUAAGUGCCAUAACGAGCGCAACCCCUCUCUUCAGUUGCCAUCAGGUAAUGCUGGGCACUCUGGAGACACUGCCACCGUAAGGUGUGAGGAAGGUGGGGAUGACGUCAAAUCAGCACGGCCCUUACGUCCGGGGCUACACACGUGUUACAAUGGCCGGUACAGAGGGAUGGUGUAAUGCAAAUUGCAUCAAAUCUUGAAGCCGGUCCCAGUUCGGACUGGGGUCUGCAACCCGACCCCACGAAGCUGGAUUCGCUAGUAAUCGCGCAUCAGCCAUGGCGCGGUGAAUACGUUCCCGGGCCUUGUACACACCGCCCGUCAAGCCAUGAAAGCCGGGGGUGCCUAAAGUCCGUUACCGCAAGGAUCGGCCUAGGGCAAAACUGGUAAUUGGGGCUAAGUCGUAACAAGGUAGCCGU